AAUUUCCGCAAGGGGAGCCAUUAUGGCUGAGAGUGAGCUUUUUUAGUUCAGACCCUUUGAACCUGUAAGUUAAUGCUUACGCAGGGAUGUGGAUGGAAACAGGC
RNAcentral lists this non-coding RNA (104 nucleotides) under Jeotgalibacillus soli. Its description in RNAcentral is "TPP sequence". It matches the Rfam family "TPP riboswitch aptamer (THI element)". From Rfam's summary of the family: Vitamin B(1) in its active form thiamin pyrophosphate (TPP) is an essential coenzyme that is synthesised by coupling of pyrimidine and thiazole moieties in bacteria. The previously detected thiamin-regulatory element, thi box was extended, resulting in a new, highly conserved RNA secondary structure, the THI element, which is widely distributed in eubacteria and also occurs in some archaea. The record is from Rfam by way of RNAcentral. Lineage: Bacteria; Bacillati; Bacillota; Bacilli; Caryophanales; Caryophanaceae.